RNAcentral lists this ribosomal RNA (500 nucleotides) under uncultured Myrionecta. RNAcentral describes it as "bacterial SSU rRNA". It matches the Rfam family "Eukaryotic small subunit ribosomal RNA", at positions 1209 to 1800 of the family's 1831-position model. The record is from RNAcentral. Lineage: Eukaryota; Ciliophora; Litostomatea; Cyclotrichida; Mesodiniidae.
GAAAACUUAACAGGUCAAGACAUGGGCGUGAGUGACAGGAUAAUGACUUUUCUAGAUUCCAUGGAUGGUGGUGCAUGGUCGCACUUAGUAGGUACAGUGAUUUGUCAGGUUUAUUCCGGUAACGAACGAGACCUCGGCCUUGUAAAUAGCUAUGCUGCUUACAGGGACAUUGGCGGCUACGCCAAGGAAGCUCGAGGCAAUUGCAGAUCUGGAAUGCCCUUAGAUGUCCUGGGUCGCACGCGUGCUACAAUGACGCCACGAACGAGCUUGCGUGAUGAAAGUUACGCAUAAUCAGCAGUCGGCGUCUUAAGGGAUAGUCUCUUGUAACUGUGGGACUCCAACUAGGAAUGUCUCGUAAGCACAAGUCAACAUCUUGUGUUGAUUACGUCCCUGCUCUUUGUACACACCGCCCGUCGCUCCUACCGAUCGAGAGUUGGUGAAUUGAUGGACGUAAGGAAGUCAAAUAAACCUGAGCACUAGAGAAGAGACGUCGAUAUGCC